UCUGGAAACUNUCUGACUUGAGUGCAGAAGGGGAGAGUGGAAUUCCAUGUGUAGCGGUGAAAUGCGUAGAUAUAUGGAGGAACACCAGUGGCGAAAGCGGCUCUCUGGUCUGUCACUGACGCUGAGGCUCGAAAGCGUGGGUAGCGAACAGGAUUAGAUACCCUGGUAGUCCACGCCGUAAACGAUGAGUGCUAGGUGUUAGGCCCUUUCCGGGGCUUAGUGCCGGAGCUAACGCAAUAAGCACUCCGCCUGGGGAGUACGACCGCAAGGUCGAAACUCAAAGGAAUUGACGGGGGCCCGCACAAGCGGUGGAGCAUGUGGUUUAAUUCGAAGCAACGCGAAGAACCUUACCAGGUCUUGACAUCCCGAUGCUAUUCUUAGAGAUAGGAAGUUACUUCGGUACAUCGGAGACAGGUGGUGCAUGGUUGUCGUCAGCUCGUGUCGUGAGAUGUUGGGUUAAGUCCCGCAACGAGCGCAACCCUUAUUGUUAGUUGCCAUCAUUAAGUUGGGCACUCUAGCGAGACUGCCGGUAAUAAACCGGAGGAAGGUGGGGAUGACGUCAAAUCAUCAUGCCCCUUAUGACCUGGGCUACACACGUGCUACAAUGGUCGGUACAACGAGUUGCGAGCCGGUGACGGCAAGCUAAUCUCUGAAAGCCGAUCUCAGUUCGGAUUGGAGGCUGCAACUCGCCUCCAUGAAGUCGGAAUCGCUAGUAAUCGCGGAUCAGCACGCCGCGGUGAAUACGUUCCCGGGCCUUGUACACACCGCCCGUCACACCACGAGAGUUAGUAACACCCGAAGUCGGUGAGGUAACCUUUUAGGAGCCAGCC
Molecule: ribosomal RNA, 830 nt
Filed under: uncultured bacterium
Lineage: Bacteria
Description: bacterial SSU rRNA
Rfam family: Bacterial small subunit ribosomal RNA
Source: RNAcentral